This 288-nucleotide long non-coding RNA is filed under the name Mytilus galloprovincialis (Mediterranean mussel). The record is from RNAcentral. Lineage: Eukaryota; Metazoa; Mollusca; Bivalvia; Mytilida; Mytilidae.
AAAGAAAACUGUGGUUAUGAAGAAAUCUAUCCAAAAGGUUGGGAACAACCCCUCGAAUGAGAGUAGCCCUUCAAUUUUAUGACUACACAUAAAAUGAGGGAUCAAUUUCAUGUGAUAAAAGCUUUUCUUUUGUUGUAAAAACCCCUUCUUAGUACAAAAAGCCACAUCAGUAUUUUUCUUUUAAAGAAACUUUCCCUACGAACUAUACUGGUAUUAUAUAAUCAAAACAUGGCCAUUAAUUUUGUUAUAUUCCAGGACUUAUAUCUUCUUUAUUAUUAAAAGUAAAGU